This 253-nucleotide ribosomal RNA is filed under the name uncultured bacterium. RNAcentral's name for it is "partial 16S ribosomal RNA". It matches the Rfam family "Bacterial small subunit ribosomal RNA", at positions 524 to 776 of the family's 1533-position model. The record is from RNAcentral.
UACGAAGGGUGCAAGCGUUACUCGGAAUUACUGGGCGUAAAGCGUGCGUAGGUGGUGCGUUAAGUCUGUCGUGAAAGCCCCGGGCUCAACCUGGGAAUGGCGAUGGAUACUGGCGCGCUAGAGUGCGGUAGAGGAGAGUGGAAUUCCCGGUGUAGCAGUGAAAUGCGUAGAGAUCGGGAGGAACAUCAGUUGCGAAGGCGGCUCUCUGGACCAGCACUGACACUGAGGCACGAAAGCGUGGGGAGCGAACAGG